AGAGUUUGAUCCUAGCUCAGGAUGAAUGCUGGCGGCGUGGAUGAGGCAUGCAAGUCGAAUGGGUUUAGACCCAUGGCAGACGAGGUAGGAACACGUAGGUACGUACCCCAAAGUCAGGGAUAAUCCGGCGAAAGUCGGGAUAAUACUUGAUGGUCUCGAAAGAGUAAAGAUUUAUCGCUUUGGGAACGGCCUGCGGGCUAUCAGCUAGUUGGUACGGUAACGGCGUACCAAGGCUACGACGGCUAGGGGAGGUGAGAGCCUGACCCCCACCGAUGGAACUGCGACACGGUCCAUACUCCUACGGGAGGCUGCAGUCGAGAAUCUUCCGCAAUGGGCGAAAGCCUGACGGAGCGACGCCGCGUGGUGGAUGAAGUCCUUAGGGACGUAAACACCUUUUAUGAGGGAAGAAGUUUAUUGACAUUACCUCAUGAAUAAGGGGCUCCCAACUCUGUGCCAGCAGGAGCGGUAAUACAGAGGCCCCAAGCAUUAUCCGGAUUCACUGGGCGUAAAGGGUGCGUAGGCGGUUAUAUUAGUCGGGUGUUAAAACCUGGGGCUCAACCUCAGGAUCGCAUUCGAAACGGUAUAACUCGGAGAAGUGAGAGGUGUGCGGAACUUACGGUGUAGGGGUGAAAUCCGUUGAUAUCGUAGGGAACACCAAAUGCGAAGGCAGCACACUGGCACUUUCUCGACGCUGAGGCACGAAAGCGUGGGUAGCGAACGGGAUUAGAUACCCCGGUAGUCCACGCCCUAAACGCUGUCUGCUAGCCAUGAGGAGAAUCGACCCUCUUCGUGGCGUAGGUAACCCGUUAAGCAGACCGCCUGGGUAGUACGAGCGCAAGCUUAAAACUCAAAGGAAUAGACGGGGGCUCGCACAAGCGGUGGAGCGCGGGGCUUAAUUCGUCGCUAAGCGAAAA
This 914-nucleotide ribosomal RNA is filed under the name Candidatus Kaiserbacteria bacterium. RNAcentral's name for it is "bacterial SSU rRNA". It matches the Rfam family "Bacterial small subunit ribosomal RNA", at positions 8 to 967 of the family's 1533-position model. Lineage: Bacteria; Candidatus Kaiseribacteriota. The record is from RNAcentral.